CAACAGGGAUUGCCUUAGUAACGGCGAGUGAAGCGGCAAAAGCUCAAAUUUGAAAUCUGGCACCUUCGGUGUCCGAGUUGUAAUUUGAAGAAGGUAACUUUGGAGUUGGCUCUUGUCUAUGUUCCUUGGAACAGGACGUCACAGAGGGUGAGAAUCCCGUGCGAUGAGAUGCCCAAUUCUAUGUAAAGUGCUUUCGAAGAGUCGAGUUGUUUGGGAAUGCAGCUCUAAGUGGGUGGUAAAUUCCAUCUAAAGCUAAAUAUUGGCGAGAGACCGAUAGCGAACAAGUACAGUGAUGGAAAGAUGAAAAGAACUUUGAAAAGAGAGUGAAAAAGUACGUGAAAUUGUUGAAAGGGAAGGGCUUGAGAUCAGACUUGGUAUUUUGCGAUCCUUUCCUUCUUGGUUGGGUUCCUCGCAGCUUACUGGGCCAGCAUCGGUUUGGAUGGUAGGAUAAUGACUAAGGAAUGUGGCUCUACUUCGGUGGAGUGUUAUAGCCUUGGUUGAUACUGCCUGUCUAGACCGAGGACUGCGUCUUUGACUAGGAUGCUGGCAUAA
RNAcentral lists this ribosomal RNA (552 nucleotides) under Debaryomyces fabryi. RNAcentral describes it as "LSU rRNA". It matches the Rfam family "Eukaryotic large subunit ribosomal RNA", at positions 66 to 634 of the family's 3401-position model. The record is from RNAcentral. Lineage: Eukaryota; Fungi; Ascomycota; Pichiomycetes; Serinales; Debaryomycetaceae.